UUCUACGCCCCCGGCCCCGCCCGUGGACCCGCCUCCAGCUCCGCCCUCGGCGCGGAGCGGAACUCGCGGAGCCCGGCCGGUGGAGCAAGAUUAUCUAAAGGACUCUUUGGCAGAAGAGUUGUCAGAUGAUGAUGAUGAUGAUGAUGAUGGUGAUUUUGCCUGAGAGAAUAAAACUAAGACCCCAGUCACCAAGAUAUGGAAGCAGCCCAAGUGUUCAUCAAUAGGGCCUGCCAUGUCAGUGUGGUGCAUGGAACAGCAACGGCGGCAGAAGCAUGCGGGAGCUUGUUACAAACGCAGACUGUCAGGGCCCCACCUCAGACCUACGAAUCAGAAUCUGCAUUUUAACGAGACCCCCCAACGAAUUCCUGUGGACAACACAUACAAAGAAGUGUCGCCAUCGAGGGAGCCUCAGAAGACGCUGCCGCCUGCCUCAUCUAGGUCUCUGGAGGUCCAUCAGCUCUCUUUCUCUUCCUUUAUAGUCCCGGAGCCUCGAAACCUCAAUUCCCAGUCGAAAAGUGAUCACCUGAGACCUCCAGCUUCUUCCUUUCCCCAUGCUCACCCGCAGACUCCGGGCUGCCUCUCCAUCCCGCUGCACCCCGGGCCACCUGUUCUGGGUCCCUCCAGGCGGUGCUGUGCCAAGCCUUCCAGGGUCCGGAGCGCCUUCACGCUCCUAAGGCUCCGCCGCACCCACUGACCGGAAAGGUAAACUGAGUGCCCGCGAGUCGCGUCUCGAGGAGCGACCGCGAGAACAAGACUCGUGAUUCCAUUUUCUAGAGGGGUGGGGAGAGUUUGAGGCCGUUUGAAGGCUUUGGGUACACUUGUCACCCCCUCAGAGAACGCGUCUCAGGAGCCCCCUUUCCCACGGCGCCACUCUCCCACUGUCGGGAUGUCGGCCCCCGGAGCAAGGCCAAUUUGACUCUGCCUUUCAGGGCGGCCUUGGGCCCCGACUCAGAGCCGCAGCUGGGCGGAGGGAGCUAUCACCCCGCGGUCCCGUAGCCCUUCAAGUCCAGGCGCUGCGCCGGAGGCGCCCGCGCCAGUCGCCAGCUCCUUGGGCUGGGUCUCGGGAACCCGAGGAGAUAGACCCAUCCCGGCGCUGUGUGCUUACCUGCCGGUCCCCACAAACGGGCUGGCUACUGGCGCCCUCCUGCUCUCCUUUUCCCCUUUUCUCUCUCUGCCGUCCCUCCUCCCGC
Molecule: long non-coding RNA, 1190 nt
Organism: Artibeus jamaicensis (Jamaican fruit-eating bat)
Lineage: Eukaryota; Metazoa; Chordata; Mammalia; Chiroptera; Phyllostomidae
Exons: 4
Source: RefSeq, a predicted model, not a curated record